RNAcentral lists this ribosomal RNA (253 nucleotides) under uncultured bacterium. RNAcentral describes it as "partial 16S ribosomal RNA". It matches the Rfam family "Bacterial small subunit ribosomal RNA", at positions 524 to 776 of the family's 1533-position model. The record is from RNAcentral.
UACGAAGGGAGCUAGCGUUGUUCGGAAUUACUGGGCGUAAAGGGCGCGUAGGCGGUUUGGCAAGUUGGAUGUGAAAGCCCUGGGCUUAACCCGGGAAUUGCAUUCAAGACUGCCUUACUCGAAUUCGGUAGAGGUUGGUAGAAUUCCCAGUGUAGAGGUGAAAUUCGUAGAUAUUGGGAAGAAUACCCGUGGCGAAGGCGGCCAACUGGACCGACAUUGACGCUGAGGCGCGAAAGCGUGGGUAGCAAACAGG